GCGUCUGAUUAGCUGGUUGGAGGGGUAACGGCCCACCAAGGCGACGAUCAGUAGCCGGUCUGAGAGGAUGAACGGCCACACUGGAACUGAGACACGGUCCAGACUCCUACGGGAGGCAGCAUG
RNAcentral lists this ribosomal RNA (123 nucleotides) under uncultured bacterium. Its description in RNAcentral is "partial 16S ribosomal RNA". It matches the Rfam family "Bacterial small subunit ribosomal RNA", at positions 233 to 353 of the family's 1533-position model. The record is from RNAcentral.